Monodelphis domestica (gray short-tailed opossum) is the source of this 585-nucleotide non-coding RNA. The record is from RefSeq and is a predicted model, not a curated record. NCBI's taxonomy places the organism in Eukaryota, Metazoa, Chordata, Mammalia, Didelphimorphia, Didelphidae.
UGAUACAUUUGUGGCUUGCUUUAAUGAUAAUCUUAUACCUCAAAAGGUAGAGGAAGUAAACAGGGGAACUGCAAUUCUGGACCCGAUUCUGAUUUACAAGGAGGAACUGGUUGCUGAAGUAGAAAUUACAGGAACCUUGGCGGCAAGGGCAAGUGACCAAUCCCCCUCAGACUUCAUGAUAGAAGAGAGGAAGACUGGACAUGGUCUUGACAUGCACCCUAGAUUUUGGGAAGAACAGGUUUCAAAAAAUACAAGGAAAGUUUAGGUAAAAUCCAAAGGCCUAUUAUUUUUUAGAGGAAAGCCCUUACAAAAUAGGAUACUCUCAAGAAUGAAGUUCUGAAGAUACAAGCAGAAAUGGAUUCAAUUGAAAGGAAAAGUCAGUGCUGCCUAAAGAGACUGAUGAAUAUACACAGGGAUCUCAAUGACCAAUUGAGAUUUUUAAAGACAUUUAUAGAAGAUGGAAGCAAGAGGAGGAGAAUGAUCUUUGGACUGGGGAGGAAAGAACAAAAAUGGUUUUCAAGGAGUAGAAACCCAAGAUCAAUGAGGAGAUGAUGAGAAAACUGAGGCUCAGAGAGAUGGCGUGGC